Molecule: long non-coding RNA, 1224 nt
Organism: Brienomyrus brachyistius
Lineage: Eukaryota; Metazoa; Chordata; Actinopteri; Osteoglossiformes; Mormyridae
Exons: 3
Source: RefSeq, a predicted model, not a curated record
UGUAAUUCCCUCGUGUUAAAUGUCAAUUCCUACUAAUGCCUUAGAAGACCUAUCACAAACUCACAGACUGGAAUCCCCCCAGUUUUGUUCGAAUGCAGAGCUCGGUUGCGAUGUAGCAAACUAGCGAACUCUGGCUCAGUAGCGCUGAGAACCUGUCAUACGAACAGUUAAUGUUGGAAGACUGUGUCUUUGAUAUCAUCGUCAUGCUGCAGCUUGCUGAUCAGGGUCGUCCCGAUCCGUCCUUCAGCGAGCCUUGAUCCUUCUGCGGGACUGGAUCCCUUGCUUUGCUGGCUGUUUCAGCUGCUAAAAAUGACAGGCAGACAGGCAGGCAGGCACAGUCUGGCAAAUAAAGGGAGAGCUUAAAUCUUGCCUUUACACUCAAAUGAAUAUUAAUGACAUCAUAAGCAUGAAAUCAAAAGCCUGUUAAAGUAACUAGUUUAAAUAAUAGUAGAAAUGUUGUGAUGUUAGCCAGCUGAAAGCCUCUGUGACCGGUUUGCUGGUCCUGGCCUCGGCAGGAUAAUCUGUGGGCCCGUGAGCCAGACCCUUAACCCCCAGUUCCAUGGACGCCGCUACAGGUACAGUAGCUGCCCUUCGCUGCCAAGCUCGCUCUCACCUACAUGUGCCAUGGAGAGUAAGAUGGGGUAACCGGCAACGGUGUUUAAAGGUUGCACAGUAUGGCCCCUCUUUUUAGGGUCCGGCCCUCUUCGGGCCCCCAGGUUUACUCUCAGACUCUUAAUCGGUUAAUUAGAGUAAUUAUUUCAGUAGUAAGUCCCUGGUAAUUCAUGAGACACCAGCUUUAUGUUAGGAAUAGGAGGGAGGGAGAGAGGGAGGGGGAGAGAGAGAGGAACCAGUACGCAUGGUCUGUGUGCCAGAGAGGGAGGGAGAGGGAGAGAGAGGCUGAGCUCCGGCGAGCAGCUUCCUUGUGUGAAUCUCACAUCAGGAACAGACCCAGCAGUCCGGCAAUCCUGAUUCAUGCCUGCCGGUGUGAUGGGCCAAGAACCUUCCGGACUGACUGACUGACCGACUGCUGCGCCUCGCGAGCACAGGCGGGGGGGCUCCGGAGCCGAGCGGCUGAGCCCAGCGGGGAGCGGCGCCGCCAGGAGCCCAGGCAGCCGGACAGCCUCGAGAGAAGCUCAGGGCACAGAGCGCAGGAGUAAGAUGUCACAUGACGAGCGGCGAUCCACCAUGGAAGGGAAGAGGACUCCGCGGCCAGACGAGGAGAAG